RNAcentral lists this ribosomal RNA (305 nucleotides) under uncultured bacterium. RNAcentral's name for it is "bacterial SSU rRNA". It matches the Rfam family "Bacterial small subunit ribosomal RNA", at positions 334 to 656 of the family's 1533-position model. The record is from RNAcentral.
UCUCCCUACGGGACGCAGCAGUGGGGGAUAUUGCACAAUGGGGGGAACCCUGAUGCAGCGACGCCGCGUGGGUGAAGAAGUCAUUCGUGAUGUAAAGCUCUAUCAGCAGGGAAGAAAAUGACGGUACCUGAGUAAGAAGCCCCGGCUAACUACGUGCCAGCAGCCGCGGUAAUACGUAGGGGGCAAGCGUUAUCCGGAUUUACUGGGUGUAAAGGGAGCGUAGACGGCCAGACAAGUCUGAAGUGAAAAUCCAGCGCUUAACGUUGGAAGUGCUUUGGAAACUGCCGGGCUAGAGUGCAGGAGGG